CUACGGGUGGCUGCAGUGGGGAAUAUUGGACAAUGGGGGAAACCCUGAUCCAGCAAUGCCGCGUGUGUGAAGAAGGCCUGCGGGUUGUAAAGCACUUUCGGUUGGGAGGACUGCUUCUAGCACUAAUAUUGUUGGAAGUUGACGUUACCUUCAGAAGAAGCACCGGCUAACUCCGUGCCAGCAGCCGCGGUAAUACGGAGGGUGCAAGCGUUAAUCGGAAUUACUGGGCGUAAAGCGCGCGUAGGCGGCUAGAUCAGUUGGGUGUGAAAGCCCCGGGCUUAACCUGGGAACUGCAUCCGAUACUGUCUAGCUUGAGUACAGGAGAGGAGAGUGGAAUUCCACAUGUAGCGGUGAAAUGCGUAGAUAUGUGGAGGAACACCAAUGGCGAAGGCAGCUCUCUGGCCUGAUACUGACGCUGAUGUGCGAAAGCGUGGGGAGCAAACAGGAUUAGAUACCCGCGUAGUC
RNAcentral lists this ribosomal RNA (465 nucleotides) under uncultured bacterium. RNAcentral's name for it is "partial 16S ribosomal RNA". It matches the Rfam family "Bacterial small subunit ribosomal RNA", at positions 339 to 795 of the family's 1533-position model. The record is from RNAcentral.